This 467-nucleotide ribosomal RNA is filed under the name uncultured bacterium. RNAcentral describes it as "partial 16S ribosomal RNA". It matches the Rfam family "Bacterial small subunit ribosomal RNA", at positions 28 to 507 of the family's 1533-position model. The record is from RNAcentral.
GAUGAACGCUGGCGGCGUGCUUAACACAUGCAAGUCGAACGGAAAGGCCCAAGCUUGCUUGGGUACUCGAGUGGCGAACGGGUGAGUAACACGUGGGUGAUCUGCCCUGCACUUCGGGAUAAGCCUGGGAAACUGGGUCUAAUACUGGAUAGGACCACUUCUUGGAUGUUGUGGUGGAAAGUUUUUUCGGUGUGGGAUGAGCUCGCGGCCUAUCAGCUUGUUGGUGGGGUAAUGGCCUACCAAGGCGUCGACGGGUAGCCGGCCUGAGAGGGUGUACGGCCACAUUGGGACUGAGAUACGGCCCAGACUCCUACGGGAGGCAGCAGUGGGGAAUAUUGCACAAUGGGCGCAAGCCUGAUGCAGCGACGCCGCGUGGGGGAUGACGGCCUUCGGGUUGUAAACUCCUUUCGCUAGGGACGAAGCGCUUUGUGACGGUACCUGGAGAAGAAGCACCGGCUAACUACGUG